AACGAACGUUGGCGGCGUGGAUUAGGCAUGCAAGUCGAAUGAAUCCCAUCUGGGUAACUGGGUGGGGGAAAUGGCGAAAGGGGCAGUAAGGCAUGGGCAACCUACCCCGGGGACGGGGAUAGCUAUUCUAACGAGUAGGUAAUACCUGGCGAUUCGGCGAAGAGGCAUCUCUUUGCCGGGAAACGAGUUUCGCCUCGGGAGGGGCUCAUGUAGUAUUAGCUUGUUGGUGAGGUAACGGCUCACCAAGGCAAAGAUGCUUAGCGGGUGUGAGAGCACGACCCGCGCCACUGGCACUGAGACACUGGCCAGACUCCUACGGGAGACUGCAGUCGAGGAUCUUCGGCAAUGGGCGCAAGCCUGACCGAGCGACGCCGCGUGUGCGAAGAAGGCC
This 391-nucleotide ribosomal RNA is filed under the name uncultured bacterium. RNAcentral describes it as "bacterial SSU rRNA". It matches the Rfam family "Bacterial small subunit ribosomal RNA", at positions 29 to 416 of the family's 1533-position model. The record is from RNAcentral.